CUAUACAUGACUCUGUGCAUAUCAAUAAGCGGAGGAAAAGAAACUAACAAGGAUUCCCUUAGUAACGGCGAGUGAAGCGGGAAGAGCUCAAAUUUGAAAUCUUCAAGGGUUCUACCUUUACGAAUUGUAGUUUAAAGAAGUGUUUUCUGUUGGAGUUUUCGGUAAAAGUUCUUUGGAAUAGGACAUCAUAGAGGGUGAGAAUCCCGUAUUUGACUCAGUUACUUUCCAGCUGUGUGAUACACUUUCAAAGAGUCGGAUUGUUUGGGAAUGCAGUCCAAAAUGGGUGGUAAAUUUCAUCUAAAGCUAAAUAUUGGCGAGAGACCGAUAGCGAUCAAGUACCGUGAGGGAAAGAUGAAAAGGACUUUGAAAAGAGAGUUAAACAGUACGUGAAAUUGUCAAAAGGGAAGCGUUUGACACCAGUGUUGUUUUUCUCGAAAAUCAAUUAAAAAUGGCCGGAUUUUGUGUUGUAUUGACUUUAUCAGCUUUCUGCACUUUUUUCUUGUCUUUUUUAAUGCACUUUUCGUUUAACAAGUCAACAUCAAUUUCUUUUGUUGUAAAAGGGUCAUUGGAAGGUGGCUUUCUUUUCGGAGAAAGUGUUUAUAGCCUUUGGCCUCUGCAAUCGGAGAGAUUGAGGUCUGCAGCGUAGAUCCUUCGGGGUUAGAUGCAUUUGUGCUAAGCUAUAGCCUUUCAUAGACAACUUGUUGACUAUGUUUAGUCUUGUAGCUUACUCGCUUAUGCUAUUUUACCUACGCUUAGGAUGUUGAUAGUCACAGCGUGUAC
This 780-nucleotide ribosomal RNA is filed under the name uncultured Neocallimastigales. Its description in RNAcentral is "partial large subunit ribosomal RNA". It matches the Rfam family "Eukaryotic large subunit ribosomal RNA", at positions 22 to 635 of the family's 3401-position model. The record is from RNAcentral. Lineage: Eukaryota; Fungi; Neocallimastigomycota; Neocallimastigomycetes; Neocallimastigales.